RNAcentral lists this small RNA (81 nucleotides) under Bradyrhizobium erythrophlei. RNAcentral's name for it is "suhB". It matches the Rfam family "Makes More Granules Regulator RNA (mmgR)". From Rfam's summary of the family: SuhB later renamed mmgR (makes more granules regulator) was a putative non-coding RNA found multiple times in the Agrobacterium tumefaciens genome and related alpha-proteobacteria. Lineage: Bacteria; Pseudomonadati; Pseudomonadota; Alphaproteobacteria; Hyphomicrobiales; Nitrobacteraceae. The record is from RNAcentral.
UAUCGCUGCCCUCCUUGGGCGUUUCCUCCCUAGACUUGGGCCGCUUGCGGCAAACGUAGGCGGCCCUUCUUUCUAGCGCUG